RNAcentral lists this unclassified non-coding RNA (748 nucleotides) under Hevea brasiliensis (rubber tree). The record is from RNAcentral. Lineage: Eukaryota; Viridiplantae; Streptophyta; Magnoliopsida; Malpighiales; Euphorbiaceae.
AGUAAGUAGUGAGUUACAGUUGUAAAGAAAUUAUCUAGUUAUUUAGGUGGAAGUGGAUCAAGGGACCUUGCAGAAAUUGCUUUUUAUUGUGCUUCAAUUUAUAUGGAUUUUUUUUUUUUGUUUUUCUCAAUAUCUUUGUAAUUAUCCGUUGAUUUUUCUCAUCAGUUUUUGUAACCAAAAUGUCUCCUUACACAAGCUGGGCUGUCUAUCAGCUCUGUUUUUUCACUUCAUGCAUGGCAAUUGUCUUGGAUGUUCUACUUCAUCUUUAUUGUUUCCCACCUUCCCUACUCUGUUAGACAAUGUUUUGUGUUGACCAUCUUCUUCUAUUCUCCUUCUUAUUGCUGUUUUACUGUAUUAUCCCCUUCUUGGUAUCUAAUGCUCUGUGUCAUCUUGACGCAAUGGAAUUAGCAGAUUGUGGUUGAUCAAAGCAAUUUUGUUUGGGAUGCCCAUGAGGGAUGACAUGGAAGAGAUCUUUGCUUACGCAAGUCUGACCUUGCGAAUAUGCGCUUCAAUCACAAGGUGAAAAUUGUUGGUUUCUUAAUUUGAUAGAAGCAAUGUGGACAGAGUUUCAUGAUCUGUAAAAGUCACUAAAGCACACUGGAUGCCAUGCCAUCCCAAUUGUUUAUUUCGAAUCCUAACCUCUUGUUUGCUAUGCCAUUCUUUUUAAUUUCUUUCCUAAUAAUGCUGUUAACAUAAAGAGUGAUAUUUGUUGAGAAAUUAAAUUCUAAGAUGGAUGUGUGGAAAUGAA